Molecule: ribosomal RNA, 432 nt
Filed under: uncultured bacterium
Lineage: Bacteria
Description: partial 16S ribosomal RNA
Rfam family: Bacterial small subunit ribosomal RNA
Source: RNAcentral
AACGAACGCUGGCGGCAGGCCUAACACAUGCAAGUCGAGCGAGGACUUCGGUUCUAGCGGCGGACGGGUGAGUAACGCGUGGGAAUGUGCCCUUCUCUACGGAAUAGCCCUGGGAAACUGGGAGUAAUACCGUAUACGCCCUAUUGGGGAAAGAUUUAUCGGAGAAGGAUCAGCCCGCGUUGGAUUAGGUAGUUGGUGGGGUAAUGGCCUACCAAGCCGACGAUCCAUAGCUGGUUUGAGAGGAUGAUCAGCCACACUGGGACUGAGACACGGCCAGACUCCUACGGGAGGCAGCAGUGGGGAAUCUUAGACAAUGGGGGCAACCCUGAUCGAGCCAUGCCGCGUGAGUGAUGAAGGCCUUAGGGUUGUAAAGCUCUUUCAGCUGGGAAGAUAAUGACGGUACCAGCAGAAGAAGCCCCGGCUAACUCCGUG